Molecule: ribosomal RNA, 253 nt
Filed under: uncultured bacterium
Lineage: Bacteria
Description: partial 16S ribosomal RNA
Rfam family: Bacterial small subunit ribosomal RNA
Source: RNAcentral
UACGUAGGGUGCAAGCGUUGUCCGGAAUUAUUGGGCGUAAAGAGCUCGUAGGCGGUUUGUCGCGUCGGAUGUGAAAUCCCAGGGCUUAACCCUGGGCCUGCAUUCGAUACGGGCAGACUAGAGUUCGGUAGGGGAGACUGGAAUUCCUGGUGUAGCGGUGAAAUGCGCAGAUAUCAGGAGGAACACCGGUGGCGAAGGCGGGUCUCUGGGCAGUAACUGACGCUGAGGAGCGAAAGCGUGGGGAGCGAACAGG